CCCAACUCUCCUCGCCGAACAUUGCCGACACGUGCUUGGAGAAGAACGUGAGGCACAGGGGACCACUGUUGCCCUGAACAGGACACCGGCACCUUCUCGCCUUCUACCCAUAGCAAGCACAAACCUCUGCACGCCAAGGGGCACCCUUGUUGAAGCGAUGCUGCGUCCAACAUGCGCGCUGGCGGCGGCGGAGUUCAAGCAGAAGUCGCGCUGGUCCAGCGUGUGGCCGAACAUGCGCUAUGGCGCCAUGUACCUCAACUACAGCGUUGGUCGUCAGCUGCCGAUGAAGGGUGUGAACUGGGUAACGCGAGAUUCUAACCGGCUCACGAACUUUGCUGCUCGCUACAGCAGCGUCAUUGAAGACAUCGAUGUGAAGCGCAACGAGGAGGAGCUGAACAUCCAGAUGAGCGACGUGCGAUGGAACGACCACCGCCGCAUCUACUGGAAAUGCUUCUUUUGUGGCUCGUCGUACCGCAAGAAUGUCUCGGUGCGCACCAAGUUCCACGCUGGGUGCAACUUCUGCAAGGGCCGCUACGCCUCCGAGGUUCUGAGAGAGCAGACUCCGGUGGUGGCGCUGAGGGAAGCGCAGCCGGAGCUGUUCAAGGGCCUGGCUGAGAAUGAGAAGAACGACAACAUAGGCUCGCUGAGCGUGACGAGCAAGUUCCGUGCUGAGUGGAAGUGCCAGUCUUGCGGGCAGCCGUACCGCGCGACAAUUCGCAGCCGCACCGGGCUCACAGAACCAGGGCAAGCGCCACUGCACCCACGCAUCACGGAGUGGUCUGCACACUGCCCCGCGUGCGCGUGGCGGGCAAACAUGACUACCAUAGGCCUGAAAGCGCAGGAGGAGGGCCAGUACCUGGGUCUCGAGACCUCCUUGGCGGAGGCGACGAGCGCGGCAGCAGGCAAGCGGAUCCCGCGUCGCAGGAAGCUGGUGACGUGAGGCGGCUGCAGAGGGCUUCUCUUUCUGGUCGACGACUGCUUGCGCGUACAAACGUAGUCACGCCUGGAUAGAUCUUGUGCUGCUUUUAUGGGCGCGGUCGCUACGGUGUGCGUGUGCUGGAUGUCUGAUGCAAUACCUGCAUGUGUGUUGCUGUGCGUUUUAUGCUGUGUGUGACUGUGGUGGCGGACGUCUCGUAACGCCUCUCUUGCUGUUG
This 1154-nucleotide unclassified non-coding RNA is filed under the name Leishmania donovani. RNAcentral's name for it is "gene:LdHU3.18.0400(CDS-product:Domain_of_unknown_ function_(DUF4379)_putative)". Lineage: Eukaryota; Euglenozoa; Kinetoplastea; Trypanosomatida; Trypanosomatidae. The record is from RNAcentral.